CUUUCAGUCGUGAGAGUCAAUCUUCAAAAUGAACACAAAAAUCGCCAUUUGUCUGAUCCUUCCUUGUAUCAUCGCACUGGUUUCCUGUGCUUAUUACCCUGGGUACUCUGGAUACCAACAACCAAGACAGGUGGCUCCUUAUGCAAACUAUGCUGCCAAUAGUUACCAGGGUCUGAAACAGGCUAGACUCUUUAACUACCUCCUCGGAGGUCUGUACUUCUUAAACCUCUUUAACUUCACUGGAAACAGAAUCGCUGGUUAAACAACUUUUUUCACAAACAUCAAAGGUUAACAAGCAGUACCUUGCACAGUCAUGGAGAAAGAUAAAAGUGUGUUAAAAAAGAUUUCACCGUCAGUUUAGAUUACCUUCUGUAAACUUUGUUCCAUUAUUUGAAUCUGUUCGUUAACAAAAUACCUUUAUUUGUUACAUUAACACUCCCGGAGACUUCUUUUCAAAGAAUGUAUUCCCAGAUUAAAAACUGUUUGACUAUUCAAACCCUUCAUUGUUUUACAUAACUUCUGUUCGCCAUUUUAUACCUAAUUGUGAAAUAAAAUCUGUGUCUUCAACCAA
Mytilus californianus (California mussel) is the source of this 571-nucleotide long non-coding RNA. RefSeq lists it as uncharacterized. The transcript is spliced from 4 exons. The record is from RefSeq and is a predicted model, not a curated record. NCBI's taxonomy places the organism in Eukaryota, Metazoa, Mollusca, Bivalvia, Mytilida, Mytilidae.